UACUAACUUAUUGAUUAGGGAUCCGAGUUUUGGUCUAUAGUUCCACCGAUGUAUCUUGCCUUGAUGAUGCCUUCUUGUUCGCGUACGGUGCAAUCCCAAUUGCGUCCUGUGCAGUAAUUAACACUCUCCAACUGUUUAAGAGAGAUGAUAAUCCAAUGGAAAUGCUGGUUGUAGCAAGACUCACCGGACAUGACAAUGACCACUGCAGUUGUGAUCUGACGAGGAAAAGAGGUGCCGGUGUGCAUAUGCACAUACCCUUCUAGUUUCACAUAGUAGGCAGCUAGGUAUGCUCCCUAAAUCUAUCUGUCAUAGUGAGUUAACCUUAGAAGCUUCAAUUACAUAUUAGUCGUGUGUUGCAUCUCAGUACCCCAUGUGUACCGCAGUUCACUCUUGUUUCUUCACGAGAUCUCCUGAUGCUUCGCAUCCCUAUGUUCCUGCAACCAACAUUGGUGCCCAUGUUUCGUUUUAGCUUUUUUGGGUAGCUUUUUGUUUGUUUAAUGGAGAGGAUCACUUGGUAGUUCUUUAGAACAUGAGGCUGAUGUUCUCUCUUGUAUCAAUGUAUGGUUGGUAGGAACUAGUUAAGCUUAUUUGGUACUU
Molecule: long non-coding RNA, 597 nt
Filed under: Oryza brachyantha (malo sina)
Lineage: Eukaryota; Viridiplantae; Streptophyta; Magnoliopsida; Poales; Poaceae
Description: long non-coding RNA (OBRA_LNC002946)
Source: RNAcentral